This 388-nucleotide unclassified non-coding RNA is filed under the name Brasilonema calidum TH04-Ema. RNAcentral's name for it is "16S-23S ribosomal RNA intergenic spacer". Lineage: Bacteria; Bacillati; Cyanobacteriota; Cyanophyceae; Nostocales; Scytonemataceae. The record is from RNAcentral.
UUUAGGGAGACCCACUUUUCAGUUAGUUAGAACUAGUUACUGAGUAACUAAUAACUGAAGAGCCAUCCCGAGGUCGAUCACGAGUCAAAGCUCUAAGCUUUCAAACUAUGUAUUGGUUCACAUUACUUUGUUAGGGCAAGCUAAUUAAUGAAAUUAGAUUUUUAUCUCUUACCGAGAUUUCUAAUUUUCAAAAUUAGAAUGUACUAUGUGAAUUUUUGCUGAAAAGCAAAAUUGUUAAGAUGAGUACAAUUUCAGCAUCUUGUGAACAGAAGCAAGACUGCUGGAAAGAAUCCAGCAAAAGAACCUUGAAAACUGCAUAGAAACGCGAAAUUUGUCAGGUAGUCAACUAAAAACAGUUAACACUCCAAACAAAAACACCAAUGAUUGU